RNAcentral lists this transfer RNA (74 nucleotides) under Pteropus alecto (black flying fox). It matches the Rfam family "tRNA". From Rfam's summary of the family: Transfer RNA (tRNA) molecules are approximately 80 nucleotides in length. Their secondary structure includes four short double-helical elements and three loops (D, anti-codon, and T loops). Further hydrogen bonds mediate the characteristic L-shaped molecular structure. tRNAs have two regions of fundamental functional importance: the anti-codon, which is responsible for specific mRNA codon recognition, and the 3' end, to which the tRNAs corresponding amino acid is attached (by aminoacyl-tRNA synthetases). tRNAs cope with the degeneracy of the genetic code in two manners: having more than one tRNA (with a specific anti-codon) for a particular amino acid; and 'wobble' base-pairing, i.e. permitting non-standard base-pairing at the 3rd anti-codon position. Lineage: Eukaryota; Metazoa; Chordata; Mammalia; Chiroptera; Pteropodidae. The record is from Rfam by way of RNAcentral.
GGCUUCAUAGUGUAGUGGUUAGCACAUUUACUUUAUACACAGAAGGUCCUGGGUUCGUGCCCCAGGUAGAGCCA